UCGCGCGUCGCGGCUCGCGCCUCAGUCGCCGUCAAUAAAUAAGGGUGCGACGAUUAUGAGGAGACUCUUAAAUACCAAAUUCACUACCUCAAACAAUAGGUGCUACGAUUAUUAGAGUAAAUACGUAGUGUGAAGCUGUGGGAACAGUUCAUGACGCCCUGCUGUGCUGUGCUGUGCUGUGCUGAGCUGAGCUGAGCUGUGCUGUGCUGUGCUGAGCUGGUGGGGCGAAGAGGGGAAAAUCAAAAAAUAAACCAGCAAGAAAGUGUGUGUGCGUGGGACCAUGUAGCGGUGUGGACAGUUCUCCCUCCCCUUUUAUUAUUGUAAUGUCUGAACUGGCACAUUACACAAUUAACAUGUCUUAUCUGGACAGGUGUUUGCGACAACUGUGACCAAACAUUUUUUUAAAGACUUAUUACUGGAACGGCUCUUGUGCUCCAUGAGUUGAUUGUACUUUUAUAGCUGAUGCCAAGAAGGAUUUAGUAGUUCAUUAUUUUGAAGUAUUGGAACAUGAUAAGUGAGUGAAGUAUAAUUUGUGGUCGGAGUGUACUCAUUUGGACCUUAGAGACUUGCAAAACAGCAUUCAAGAUGAUGAAUACUGCUCUUUACCUAUCGCACAAUGUAGAAGAGCGUAAAUGAUGCUAUUGAAAAAAAAAAAAACAUAAAGAGUAAACAUACCAGGGAAAAGGUAGCAGAUGGACUCGGUCAUUUGAAUCAAUUGCAACUGAGAACAUGCUGCUCACUGGAAAAAUAAUAUAUAUAUUAUUUGCUCCUAUGUGUGUUCUUGUAGUAGAGUGCAAUUUACGUAAUAAGUUUUAUUUCUUGCACUUAUACGUUUAUGGUAAAAUUAAAAAAAAAGUAUUACUGACCUAAAAAUAUAUUUUUUGCAUGAGUCAAGGAUUGAACCAAGAACAGGAAUAAAUCUGUAAAUUGGUGAUUAUUUUGAUAUUUGAAUAUAUAUUUCUUUUAAUUUCUAGCUAAAUAGAUUUUCAAGAUGGUGGAUACCAGAGUAGUAAGUACUACUAUUAUAUUCUAAACUAAUAAUCAACAAUAAACUAAUAUGGUGGCACUGAUCUCUAGCAGAUGAAAAUAAAAUGGCAGAGCCAUGAUGGCAUACUGGUUAUAAUGUCUGCUGUGGCAUUAGAGGUGGGAGGUCAGUCUGCUGGUAGUUAAUGGAAGCAGGGGCACAACAACUAAAUUUCCAAAGGGGGGGCGGGGGCAAUAUACCUUUUUAUAAAGAAUCAUCGAUCCCCCCUAUUGAAGCAGGUGGUGAUGGGGUCCUCCCCCGGGAAAAUUUGUAUUUCAAGGUGGAAAAUGGUGCUAUUUAAGCAGUUUUAUUAUCUAAAAAUUGAUUACACAGCACUUUCUUUGCCCCCGUUUGCCCCCACUUCAAGGUUUCAGAAGGGGGGGGGGGGUGGCAAAUACCCUUGCCCCCUCCUGUUGUGCCCCUGAAUGGAAGAAUGAUCCUUCACCAUUUAUUUUGCCCUCACCAGGUUUGGAGCAAGGACUCAGUUCCAUGAUGUAAGCAUGUUUUUAUUAAAUGAUUUUUUUAUCAGUUUUGCCCGUUUUUUUAUCGAAAUAAUUAUGGAUUUUCAAGAUAGUGGAUGGAUGUAAGCACUUUUUAAUUAAUAUUUUUUUAAACUAAAAUUACAUGUUUUUUCCCCACCGGUUAUCAAACUGAGAAUGGAAAUGGAUUAAGUAAUUAAAUAAUUAUAUUGAAAUCAAAAUGUGUAUUGUAAACUUAAAUUUGUACAGUCUUAAUAAAGGUAAUGGGUGGUUCGGUGCCGAGAUAUGGUAAUGGAACCACAAGGCCCAUAACUGCUAUUAUUACUUGGUGUGAUAAGAAACAUACUUUAAUUUUGUAUGCAAAUAAUUAAUAGAUAAAAUUACUGGAGUGAUAGAUUCCUCAGGGUCAAUUUCCGUGCUAUUACCGGUAUCAUACUUGUUAAUCUUUGUUGCAUAUUUGUUCCACGUCUUACAGAUCACAUGAAGACAUCGCGUGUUGUUUAAUUACGAACAGGUACUUGCAAUGAAACGUGCAUUGUUCAUUUGCCAUUGUUUUAGAUCAAUAGUCCAGACGUAAACGUAGGCAAACAAUUGUUACGAGAGUACGCAACGAGCAUGCAUUCGAACACACUCGUUCUCGUGCACGCACUCGACGAUAUGGAACAACACUCUCGUGACGUCACUUCCGAGAGCGAGUACGUGAGCACGCAUGUUUACCUAUUUGGAACACAGCCUUAAAUUCAUAUGGUUCUUUAGUGAUUGAUGUUGAAUACUGCUCCAUUUUAAUUUUUUUUUGUAAAUAUUAGUGAUGGAAAUUGUAUUUAUAAUUUUUUUUUUCAACUGUAUUUAUAUAGUGAGUUUGUUCCCUGGCUGUUUAUAGGCGAGAGUUUGUGAGGUUAUGUUCCCUGACGUAUAAUUUAUUUGCAUUAUAAAUUAUUAAAUAAUUAAAAUUAAUACAUUUUAAUGAUCA
This is a long non-coding RNA of Bacillus rossius redtenbacheri, 2473 nucleotides long. RefSeq lists it as uncharacterized. NCBI's taxonomy places the organism in Eukaryota, Metazoa, Arthropoda, Insecta, Phasmatodea, Bacillidae. The record is from RefSeq and is a predicted model, not a curated record. The transcript has 2 exons.